This 69-nucleotide transfer RNA is filed under the name Upogebia major. RNAcentral describes it as "tRNA-Met". The record is from RNAcentral. Lineage: Eukaryota; Metazoa; Arthropoda; Malacostraca; Decapoda; Upogebiidae. RNAcentral also lists the same sequence under 1 other name.
AAAAAGAUAAGCUAAUUAAGCUAGUGGGCUCAUACCCCACCUAUGGGAACUUCAACUUCUCUCUUUUUA